This 524-nucleotide ribosomal RNA is filed under the name uncultured bacterium. RNAcentral's name for it is "partial 16S ribosomal RNA". It matches the Rfam family "Bacterial small subunit ribosomal RNA", at positions 28 to 523 of the family's 1533-position model. The record is from RNAcentral.
GACGAACGCUGGCGGCGUGCCUAAUACAUGCAAGUCGAACGCUUCUUUCCUCCCGAGUGCUUGCACUCAAUUGGAAAGAGGAGUGGCGGACGGGUGAGUAACACGUGGGUAACCUACCCAUCAGAGGGGGAUAACACUUGGAAACAGGUGCUAAUACCGCAUAACAGUUUAUGCCGCAUGGCAUAAGAGUGAAAGGCGCUUUCGGGUGUCGCUGAUGGAUGGACCCGCGGUGCAUUAGCUAGUUGGUGAGGUAACGGCUCACCAAGGCCACGAUGCGUAGCCGACCUGAGAGGGUGAUCGGACACACUGGGACUGAGACACGGCCCAGACUCCUACGGGAGGCAGCAGUAGGGAAUCUUCGGCAAUGGACGGAAGUCUGACCGAGCAACGCCGCGUGAGUGAAGAAGGUUUUCGGAUCGUAAAACUCUGUUGUUAGAGAAGAACAAGAACGUUAGUAACUGAACGUCCCCUGACGGUAUCUAACCAGAAAGCCACGGCUAACUACGUGCCAGCAGCCGCGGUAA